AUACGGAGGGUGCAAGCGUUAAUCGGAAUUACUGGGCGUAAAGCGCGCGUAGGCGGAUAUUUAAGUCUCAUGUGAAAGCCCUGGGCUCAACCUGGGAACUGCAUGGGAUACUGGGUAUCUAGAAUACAGUAGAGGGUAGUGGAAUUUCAGGUGUAGCGGUGAAAUGCGUAGAGAUCUGAAGGAACAUCAGUGGCGAAGGCGACUACCUGGACUGAUAUUGACGCUGAGGUGCGAAAGCGUGGGGAGCAAACGGGAUUAGAAACCCUGGUAGUCC
This 274-nucleotide ribosomal RNA is filed under the name uncultured bacterium. RNAcentral's name for it is "partial 16S ribosomal RNA". It matches the Rfam family "Bacterial small subunit ribosomal RNA", at positions 523 to 796 of the family's 1533-position model. The record is from RNAcentral.